Molecule: unclassified non-coding RNA, 313 nt
Filed under: uncultured fungus
Lineage: Eukaryota; Fungi
Description: sequence contains ITS1
Source: RNAcentral
AAGCCCUCCCGAGAGCCCCGGUCAAGAAGCAUCCGGGCAUCUACUACCGCCAGAAUGCGAAGGGAGAGCGGCGUUACGAGGUCGUCUACCGCGACUCGGAGGGUCGGCAGCGCUGGAAGACAGCCGGAGCCAAGCUUUCAGACGCGACGACUCUCCGCGAAGACCUGAGCGGUAAGAAGCGCAGGGGCGAAGUUCUCGCCUCGAACACGAAAAAGACCUUUGGGGACGUAGCCCGCGAGUGGAUGAUCUCCAAGGCAAACCUGCGUGGGCGCUCGCGGGACGAUUACAGAAUCAAGCUCGCCCGCGUGGAGCC